CAAUUCCAAAGCAUCUGAAAAGCAAAACCUUUCAGCAGCCUAUUAUCCCAACAAUCUGCUUCAAUAAUAUACUGAAAGGUGUUCUUUCAAAAACCAUUACACCUCUUCAGAAUCUUGGCACUCCAUCUAAAAAGACCCAAAAAUUCCUCUUCCAACUAUUUUCUUCCUCUUUUCCAGAACAGGGAAUCGAUAUUAGAUGUGGCUUGUACGAUGUGAUGUUGUUUUUUUUCCUUGUAAAGAACUCAAUCUAUUUGCCUUUUUUGUCUUAUUGUGAGAGUUUUCUUUCAAAGUUUCAUAUUUGAAUCAUAUUAUUGGGCUUUUUUUUUAAAAAUCUAACUAAAGCUUGACUAAUGUACUUAUCUUUUGCUUUGGUAUUAUUAACUAUGUAACAAAAGAAGGUUUCUCUUUUGAGGAUGUUGACGAUGUUUGAAAGGGAGCUUCAAUUGGUCCUUCAAUUGACUUGGCCAUUCAUAUCCACCCAAAGUAUCUCUGUACAAUCUCAUGAUUUUGUUUGGAAUAACAUUAAUAUGUGCUGUUGUAUUUUAUUGUUGUUUCCUAUUUGUAUGUCUGUUAAUGUUUAUUGGGCAACUUCCAUAUAAAUUUUAUCACAUACAUCUGUAUGUGAAAUGUGUACGUAUAUAUAUUCUUUUGAUAUAGCUCCAUUAUAAAUUUGCAUGUAAGGAUUUUUAGGUUUUGUUUAUUUGGUCACUUUUGUUCCUUAUAAUCCUUACGCAUACGACGCCCUUUGAGAAGCUAUUGCUACACAUUUCAUGUCUUAGAAACCCUAACUCAUUUUGUUCCUCUAUUCUUUCAUGUUGUUGCCCUCUUUUUUCAUUAUUCUAUUUUUUCUUUAUUUUCUCUUUCUUCUUCUUUUUUGGCUUAAUGAUGUAAAAAGGCUUUAAGCUUUUUUAAAAAAAAAAGCAAUUAAGCUCAUUCUCUUUUUUUUUUUGCACUCAGUUAAGCACUUGAACUUUUAAAAUGCAUCAAAAAGACUCUAAAUCUUCUUCAAAAAAAGCAAUUAAACCCCUAAUUUUUUCACUCAAUUGGCUACUUUGAACUUUCAAAAUGUUAAUACUCUCAAAAUUUUUCAAAAAAGGUAAUGGCUUACUUACUUUCUUUUUAUACAUUUUGAAAUUUUAAAAAUUCAAAUAAAUGUAAAAAAGAAAAUAAGAGCUUAAUUUUUUUUUUUUUAAUUUGAGUGCUUUUUGAUAUCCUUAAGCCUUUUCUUUUAUUAUUCUCCCUUCCUUUUCUUUGUUUUGUUCCUCAAAAGUUACUGUUUUUUUAAAAUAAUUUCCCUUUAAGCUGAACUGGUUACUUAGUACGUGUAUCUGUAUGCAAUCCUUGGUGCUGUGGAUCCAGAAAAUAUAGGAAAUAUUCAUGGCAUCACGGCUGCAAAUCGAGGGUGAUGCCUCAGUGCUGCUUCGAGUCGCUCACUCCAACCUCAAAAGCUUCGCCACUGACAUUCGCUUCUCUCUUCAGAUGAGCGUGGAAGCAGUGAAAGAUAAGGUAUGGAAGAAAUGUGGGACUUCGGUAAAUUCAAUGCGGUUAGAGCUAUAUGAUGAUUGUAAAAAUAAACUUCGUGAUUUAAGUGAUGAUUCAAGACCUCUCGGUUUCUAUUCUCCACUAGAUGGGUUCCGAAUACACAUUAUAGAUCUUGAUCCUUCAUCCGUAACUUCGGAAGGGUGGCUUGAAGAUACGUCAUUAGUCGAGAAGUACUCGAUUUCUGAAGAUGAAUACAAUAAACGUUCCGGUACAUUUAGGAAAUUUAAGAAACAAAUGGCAUCUCAAAAUCCAUCAGCAUUCAGGAACAAAAUGUCAGAUGACUACAUGGAAGACCUCUGCACAAAUAUCAAGGUAGGAGAUAGAUGUGAAGUUGAUUCAGGGGAGAAAAGAGGUGUUGUCAAAUAUGUGGGUCGAGCAGAAGCAUUAGGGCCAGGCUUUUGGAUUGGAGUUCAAUAUGAUGAACCGUUGGGAAAACAUGAUGGAAUGUUGGUGGCUAUCCUGAACGAGAUCCCUUUGAAGAGGAUGAGAUAUGAUGUGAUCGCGAAAGGAUCUGGAGAGAGGAGAUGCAGCUGGUACCUGGGCAAGGCCAUUAUCCCUGAAGAAGUGGAGAAGUAAUGUGCAACCAUACUGCACAAAAUUCCAUUGUUUAACACUACACAUCACAUAUACUGAGGAGCAGGAGGCAAAGAAAAGAAGCUGGCCUUUGGACCUGAAUCCUGCAUAAAAAAAGGGAUAUGAUGAUCAACAUGGGAAGCUGAUGGAUGGUCUUUACAAGGCCACUGGUUAGGCAAAGCAAAAGCAAAGCUUAGCUUGUAGGUGGUGGUGGUGGAAUUGUGGGAGGGUAACAUCUGCAAAGAUGACAAAUACAGGAGGAAGUAAAAUUCUCAAACAAGACCAUUUCAGAUGACAAUCAAAGAUGAUAUCUUCUAUUGUUAGGUAGGUUAAAGCUAUCACAGAAUACCACUACUUACUGUUAUAUAUAGUUACUACAAUAAUAUGUAUUUAUUUAUCAAGGUAGGAAGUCUGCUCUCUUCUCUUCUCUUCUCUUCUCUUCUCAUGCAUUAUCAAUUUUGACCAGACGUCUAAUUUCAAUGUUAUUCGAAAAUAAUAAUUUAUAAAAUUAAUAUAACUUGGAAGCCACUAUUUCAAUUUUAA
Gossypium raimondii (Peruvian cotton) is the source of this 2658-nucleotide RNA transcript. It is a transcript of the gene named tubulin-folding cofactor B, with no coding region annotated. The record is from RefSeq and is a predicted model, not a curated record. NCBI's taxonomy places the organism in Eukaryota, Viridiplantae, Streptophyta, Magnoliopsida, Malvales, Malvaceae. The transcript is spliced from 9 exons.